CAAGUCGAGCGGUACAGAUCUAGCUUGCUAGAUGCUGACGAGCGGCGGACGGGUGAGUAAUGCAUAGGAAUCUGCCCGAUAGUGGGGGAUAACCUGGGGAAACCCAGGCUAAUACCGCAUACGUCCUACGGGAGAAAGGGGGCUUCGGCUCCCGCUAUUGGAUGAGCCUAUGUCGGAUUAGCUAGUUGGUAAGGUAAUGGCUUACCAAGGCAACGAUCCGUAGCUGGUCUGAGAGGAUGAUCAGCCACAUCGGGACUGAGACACGGCCCGAACUCCUACGGGAGGCAGCAGUGGGGAAUAUUGGACAAUGGGGGCAACCCUGAUCCAGCCAUGCCGCGUGUGUGAAGAAGGCCCUCGGGUUGUAAAGCACUUUCAGCGAGGAAGAACGCCUGGCGGUUAAUACCCGCCAGGAAAGACAUCACUCGCAGAAGAAGCACCGGCUAACUCCGUGCCAGCAGCCGCGGUAAUACGGAGGGUGCAAGCGUUAAUCGGAAUUACUGGGCGUAAAGCGCGCGUAGGUGGCUUGAUAAGCCGGUUGUGAAAGCCCCGGGCUCAACCUGGGAACGGCAUCCGGAACUGUCAGGCUAGAGUGCAGGAGAGGAAGGUAGAAUUCCCGGUGUAGCGGUGAAAUGCGUAGAGAUCGGGAGGAAUACCAGUGGCGAAGGCGGCCUUCUGGACUGACACUGACACUGAGGUGCGAAAGCGUGGGUAGCAAACAGGAUUAGAUACCCUGGUAGUCCACGCCGUAAACGAUGUCGACCAGCCGUUGGGUGCCUAGAGCACUUUGUGGCGAAGUUAACGCGAUAAGUCGACCGCCUGGGGAGUACGGCCGCAAGGUUAAAACUCAAAUGAAUUGACGGGGGCCCGCACAAGCGGUGGAGCAUGUGGUUUAAUUCGAUGCAACGCGAAGAACCUUACCUACCCUUGACAUCUACAGAAGCCGGAAGAGAUUCUGGUGUGCCUUCGGGAACUGUAAGACAGGUGCUGCAUGGCUGUCGUCAGCUCGUGUUGUGAAAUGUUGGGUUAAGUCCCGUAACGAGCGCAACCCUUGUCCUUAUUUGCCAGCACGUAAUGGUGGGAACUCUAAGGAGACUGCCGGUGACAAACCGGAAGA
This 1114-nucleotide ribosomal RNA is filed under the name uncultured bacterium. RNAcentral describes it as "bacterial SSU rRNA". It matches the Rfam family "Bacterial small subunit ribosomal RNA", at positions 58 to 1170 of the family's 1533-position model. The record is from RNAcentral.